GACGAACGCUGGCGGCGUGCUUAACACAUGCAAGUCGAACGAAGAGCGAUGGAAGCUUGCUUCUAUCAAUUUUAGUGGCGAACGGGUGAGUAACGCGUAAUCAACCUGCCCUUCAGAGGGGGACAACAGUUGGAAACGACUGCUAAUACCGCAUACGAUCUAAUCUCGGCAUCGAGGAUAGAUGAAAGGUGGCCUCUACAUGUAAGCUAUCACUGAAGGAGGGGAUUGCGUCUGAUUAGCUAGUUGGAGGGGUAACGGCCCACCAAGGCGAUGAUCAGUAGCCGGUCUGAGAGGAUGGACGGCCACAUUGGGACUGAGACACGGCCCAGGCUCCUACGGGAGGCAGCCGUGGGGAAUCUUCCGCAAUGGACGAAAGUCUGACGGAGCAACGCCGCGGGAGGGAUGACGGCCUUCGGGUUGUAAAGCUCUGUUAAUCGGGACGAAAGGCCUUCUUGCGAACAGUUAGAAGGAUUGACGGUACCGGAAUAGAAAGCCACGGCUAACUACGUG
Molecule: ribosomal RNA, 510 nt
Filed under: uncultured bacterium
Lineage: Bacteria
Description: partial 16S ribosomal RNA
Rfam family: Bacterial small subunit ribosomal RNA
Source: RNAcentral